CCUACGGGAGGCAGCAGUGGGGAAUCUUGGACAAUGGGGGCAACCCUGAUCCAGCCAUGCCGCGUGAGUGAAGAAGGCCCUAGGGUUGUAAAGCUCUUUCAGUCGUGAAGAUGAUGACGGUAGCGACAGAAGAAGCCCCGGCUAACUUCGUGCCAGCAGCCGCGGUAAU
This 169-nucleotide ribosomal RNA is filed under the name uncultured Rhodovulum sp. Its description in RNAcentral is "partial 16S ribosomal RNA". It matches the Rfam family "Bacterial small subunit ribosomal RNA", at positions 338 to 524 of the family's 1533-position model. Lineage: Bacteria; Pseudomonadati; Pseudomonadota; Alphaproteobacteria; Rhodobacterales; Paracoccaceae. The record is from RNAcentral.